UACGGAAGGUGCGAGCGUUGUUCGGAAUGACUGGGCGUAAAGCGCACGUAGGCGGGUUUGUAAGUCGGAUGUGAAAGCCCUGGGCUCAACCUAGGAACUGCACCCGAAACUACAGAUCUUGAAUGCUUGAGAGGUUGGUGGAAUUCCUGGUGUAGGAGUGAAAUCCGUAGAUAUCAGGAGGAACAUCGGAGGCGAAGGCGGCCAACUGGUGAUGCAUUGACGCUAAGGUGCGAAAGCGUGGGGAGCAAACAGG
RNAcentral lists this ribosomal RNA (253 nucleotides) under uncultured bacterium. RNAcentral describes it as "partial 16S ribosomal RNA". It matches the Rfam family "Bacterial small subunit ribosomal RNA", at positions 524 to 776 of the family's 1533-position model. The record is from RNAcentral.